Molecule: non-coding RNA, 799 nt
Organism: Ictalurus furcatus (blue catfish)
Lineage: Eukaryota; Metazoa; Chordata; Actinopteri; Siluriformes; Ictaluridae
Source: the annotation of a RefSeq genome assembly
GUUAUUUUACAUUGAAGGGGAAGUCUGUUUAAAAUAAACCAUCUAUGCCUAACAUUCCUAUGAAUUUGUAGUGUAUACAGUAACAUUUUUGGUGUCUUCAGUCAGCUACAUUUAGUAAAACUGACCUUAUAAUCAUCCACUCAUCUAUACACUGUGCAGCCUGUGCUUGUGGAUUUAACACAUCCAUAGUGGUCAUGGUCACUCCCUAUUCAAAUAGAGUCGGGUAUAAACAGCAUGUUCUUGGCUGUUCAGGUUUCCAGUGAGCUCUGUGAUAGAUAACACUCCCAUACACUUUAAAUCUGGGUGAAGCAGAACUCAGAGAAGGAUGAUUUUAGGACAUUGUAUUUUAUUUGUUCUCAUUUCAUAUUCUUAUGGACAGUCCCUGACCUCCUCUGCUUCUGUGGUGAAGAGACCUGGAGAGUCAGUCACUCUGUCCUGUACUGUCUCCGGAUUCUCAAUGAGCUACGGGAUGACCUGGAUCCGUCAGAAACCAGGACAAGGACUGGAGUGGAUCGGAUACAUUGACGGUGGCACUAGCACAACAUUUGCUCAGUCUCUGCAGGGCCAGUUCUCCAUCACUAAAGACACCAAUAAAAACAUGCUGUACCUAGAAGUGAAGAGUCUGAAAGCUGAAGACACGGCUGUUUAUUACUGUGCACGAGAGUUACAUUGACACAACAGACCCCAGAGCUGUACAAAAACUUACACAAGCAUGUCCUCAUGAGCUGUAAAUAUUCCCUCAGCAGGAAACUGAACCCCAGAGACAUUUAUUAUAAACAACAUCCAUUCAUUUUAGUGC